ACACAAGUGGCAUAGUGGUUUGAGCAUUGGACUGCGACUUUAGAGACCAGGGUUCGAAUCCCAGCUCAACCA
This 72-nucleotide transfer RNA is filed under the name Phrynosoma platyrhinos (Desert horned lizard). RNAcentral describes it as "tRNA-OTHER". The stretch from base 6 to 66 matches the Rfam family "tRNA", at positions 6 to 65 of the family's 71-position model. Rfam says of the family: Transfer RNA (tRNA) molecules are approximately 80 nucleotides in length. Lineage: Eukaryota; Metazoa; Chordata; Lepidosauria; Squamata; Phrynosomatidae. The record is from RNAcentral.